Molecule: long non-coding RNA, 1656 nt
Filed under: Malus domestica (apple)
Lineage: Eukaryota; Viridiplantae; Streptophyta; Magnoliopsida; Rosales; Rosaceae
Description: long non-coding RNA (MDOM_LNC005266)
Source: RNAcentral
CACAGGCCAUAGAAUCUCAACCACAGGAUUUCAUUUAAUUCAAAUCCAACGGUAGGGAGCGUGUCCCCAUUUUUUUGAAAAAUGGGGAUCCCUCCCCUUAAGCAAUUCCUAUAUAUAUAUAUAUAUAUAUAUGUUACUGCUACCAAAUAAGCAUACAUAUCACAAAUACCAAGCUACUAAUUAAUAUAUGUAGCAAUCUUAACAAUGCAACGUAAUAUAUUCAAUGCACCCAUUUGGUUUUCAUCUAUCUCCCUCUUUUAUCUAUUUCUUGUGCCUUCUUUAUAUCAUAGGCAUUUGCGUUUGCUUGUGUAUCUUAUAUUAAUUUUCUUUUGAGGUGGAUAAAGUGAAGCAUACGUUAUGAACCCUAAUGGGAUGAUGAAUGCAAGCAAUAAUAGAUGGAAUGAAUAAAGAGAAAAAAAGGUGAGGGAUAGUGGAUAUGGGAAUCCAUCUGUCUUCAUUCAUAUUUGCUAUCUUUUUUGGUGGCAACUCCUUUUCUUUUCUUUCCCCUUCUUUAUGUUCUCAAUUUCUUUCCUAUUCAAUUGUGCGCGUUCGUGAGGGAAUUAAAGAAGAUGUUAGAUAGUUUCAGACAAGGUGGGGUUACUGUUCUAUCGACUUCAUUUCGGUCAAUACCCCAUAAUUUGGUUGCAUAAUUUGGCCCCUCCAAUUCAAUUUUGGUGUCUGAAUUAAGAACUUUGAUGCCAACGGUUUGAUUAUUUUCAUUGCUGUUAAUUUAUUUGGGACAACUUCACCAUUGACCUUGACCCUAUGUUAAUGUUCCAGAUAUUUAAUUUGGUGCAACUGCAGGUUGUGAAAAAUUGGUGUAGGAAAUUAAGAGAAAUUGCAAUAUAUAUUUCUUUACUUGUUAGGAAAGAAUUUAACUGGAAUUUAAAAACAUACAUGUGAUUUUGACUAUGAAAAAUUGCAAUAUUAUAAAAUCAAUUGGGACUUAUUAGGAAAUUACUCCAUAUGACAGAUCUGGAAUUAAUCACAAGAACUGCUUACCAGCAACCUAUUCCAAUAUAGUUAUCAAAUAGUCUUUGAUUUAGUAAUAGUACUCUUAACAUAGUUGGAGAAAUAUCAAUUUAGACACAGAUGAAUGUGACAAUAAUAUAUAAGCGUAACUUUGUUGUUAAUGAAUUAUUUUGUUGAGAAAAAAGCUUUGUCGUGGGUGAUAUUGUGACGUGUGAAAAUUAUUUCACUGAAAUAAAAUCGAAAGUGGGUAAAGAGAUAAGAUACUGGGAAAUGAAUAACAACACUCUAAAAAUAACAGCUAUACAUGAUGAAAUAGUUAUGGAUUUUAAAUUACAUGAGUCACUUAAUACUAUGGUCUAGUGAUAUUCUUAUUCACUUGUAAGUGAGAUGUUUUAGGUUCAAUUCUCUCAAAAGAAGAAUUUGAAUCACAAAAAAGUUGUUUGAAUCGUAAUCUGUUACUCAAUUCCCAUUCAUCACUUGAACAAACCCGAUCGAAGGACAAAAAUACACUAGUUUCCGAGUGCCAAUUAGCAAGAGAGAAGUUUCUAUUUACCUUCACCACCCUAAUGCCAUGCUAUUUGGCUUGGGUUUCAAGGGGUAAUAAUCACAGCUGUGCAAAGUCUUACAAAGGAAAAGAUUAUAGCCCUUAAGCAAUAAUUAAUUAAAUUGGCAUGCACUUGUAUG